CCCCCCCAAUCAAGUAUCUGAUUUUCUGAUGCUUGGAAUGCUUUGGAGAGGUGUCUUGUUAUAGAGCUGCCCUCCAGAAAUUAAUAGGCAGUAUGGUUUGCACCUGAACCAGACGUAAUAAUAAUAAAAUCGUUUGUUUGGGUAUAAUUGUACUUGUCUUAACCCACCCAUUUUUUUUUCUUCCUU
Molecule: unclassified non-coding RNA, 186 nt
Filed under: uncultured Peziza
Lineage: Eukaryota; Fungi; Ascomycota; Pezizomycetes; Pezizales; Pezizaceae
Description: sequence contains ITS2
Source: RNAcentral